Molecule: unclassified non-coding RNA, 213 nt
Filed under: fungal sp.
Lineage: Eukaryota; Fungi
Description: partial internal transcribed spacer region
Rfam family: Eukaryotic small subunit ribosomal RNA (bases 1-46)
Source: RNAcentral
AAGUCGUAACAAGGUUUCCGUAGGUGAACCUGCGGAAGGAUCAUUCUUGAAUAGCUUUCAAAUCUGUGAACUGAUAUCUGGUUUGGCACCUACUAGGCUUAGCUUCACGGCUAACCUAUGGUGUCAGACUGCUUUUCAUGAAUUUUGACUUAACAACCAAUUGACUUAAAAUCUAAGUUUAAACAACUUUUAGCAACGGAUCUCUAGGCUCUC